UCCUCUUUCCCCAAUCUUUAUCCGGAAUUAUUGGGCGUAAAGGGUGUGUAGGCGGCAUGGUUAGUCUCUUGUUAAAGCUCUCGGCUCAACCGGGAAAGUGCAAGGGAAGCGGCCAUUGCUAGAGGAUGUGAGAGGUGAAUGGAACUCAUGGUGUAGGGGUGAAAUCCGUUGAUAUCAUGGGGAACACCAAAAGCGAAGGCAAUUCACUGGCACAUUCCUGACGCUGAAACACGAAAGCGUGGGUAGCGAAUGGG
This 254-nucleotide ribosomal RNA is filed under the name uncultured bacterium. RNAcentral's name for it is "partial 16S ribosomal RNA". It matches the Rfam family "Bacterial small subunit ribosomal RNA", at positions 524 to 776 of the family's 1533-position model. The record is from RNAcentral.